This 472-nucleotide ribosomal RNA is filed under the name uncultured bacterium. RNAcentral describes it as "bacterial SSU rRNA". It matches the Rfam family "Bacterial small subunit ribosomal RNA", at positions 355 to 825 of the family's 1533-position model. The record is from RNAcentral.
UGAGGAAUUAUGCGCAAUGGACGAAAGUCUGACGCUGCGACGUCGCGUGGGUGAUGAAGGUCUUCGGAUCGCAAAACCCUGUCGAGAGGGAAGAAAGAGCGGGCGCUAAUAUCGCCUACUUCUGACGGUACCUCUGGAGGAAGCCCCGGCUAACUCUGUGCCAGCAGCCGCGGUAAUACAGAGGGGGCAAGCGUUGUUCGGAAUUACUGGGCGUAAAGCGCGUGUAGGCGGAUUUGUAAGUUGGGGGUGAAAUCCCGAGGCUCAACCUCGGAACUGCCUCCAAAACUACAAGUCUGGACCUAAGUAGAGGCAAGUGGAAUUGCGAGUGUAGAGGUGAAAUUCGUAGAUAUUCGCAGGAACACCAGUGGCGAAGGCGACUUGCUGGACUUAUGGUGACGCUGAGACGCGAAAGCGUGGGGAGCAAACAGGAUUAGAUACCCCAGUAGUCCCUGAGCGGGCUGGCAAGGCGCAU